GCCGUCUUAGCUCAGUGGUAGAGCGGGGGUUUGAAGAACCUCGCGCCGGCGGUUCAAAUCCGUCAGACGGCGCCA
Molecule: transfer RNA, 75 nt
Filed under: Capsulimonas corticalis
Lineage: Bacteria; Bacillati; Armatimonadota; Armatimonadia; Capsulimonadales; Capsulimonadaceae
Description: tRNA-Phe
Rfam family: tRNA
About the family: Transfer RNA (tRNA) molecules are approximately 80 nucleotides in length.
Source: RNAcentral